This 476-nucleotide ribosomal RNA is filed under the name Candidatus Scalindua wagneri. Its description in RNAcentral is "bacterial SSU rRNA". It matches the Rfam family "Bacterial small subunit ribosomal RNA", at positions 365 to 832 of the family's 1533-position model. The record is from RNAcentral. Lineage: Bacteria; Pseudomonadati; Planctomycetota; Candidatus Brocadiia; Candidatus Brocadiales; Candidatus Scalinduaceae.
UUCGCAAUGCCCGAAAGGGUGACGAAGCGACGCCGCGUGAGCGAAGAAGGCCUUAGGGUUGUAAAGCUCUGUCGAGGGUUAUGAAACGUAGAUGAGUUAAUACCUCAUUUAUUUGACAAAGGCCCCAAAGGAAGUCACGGCUAACUCUGUGCCAGCAGCCGCGGUAAUACAGAGGUGGCAAGCGUUGUUCGGUAUUAUUGGGCGUAAAGAGCACGUAGGUGGUUUUGUAAGUCAGGUGUGAAAGCCUUCUGUUCAAAGGAAGAACGGCAUCUGAAACUACAGAUCUUGAGUGUAGGAGGGGAGAGUGGAACUUCUGGUGGAGCGGUGAAAUGCGUAGAUAUCAGAAGGAACGUCGGCGGCGAAAGCGACUCUCUGGCCUAUUACUGACACUGAGGUGCGAAAGUUAGGGGAGCAAACGGGAUUAGAUACCCCGGUAGUCCUAACCGUAAACGAUGGGCACUAAGUAGAGGGGUUUU